AGCAUAUAGAAUAAGUUGUGCUAAUGGACUACUGAAAUUCCAGUCUACUGAGCUGAUUAUUCCUAAGAGAGACACGUUGGAAAUCUGA
RNAcentral lists this long non-coding RNA (88 nucleotides) under Monodelphis domestica (gray short-tailed opossum). Its description in RNAcentral is "lncRNA (ENSMODG00000046945.1)". Lineage: Eukaryota; Metazoa; Chordata; Mammalia; Didelphimorphia; Didelphidae. The record is from RNAcentral.